RNAcentral lists this microRNA precursor (97 nucleotides) under Canis lupus dingo (dingo). RNAcentral describes it as "mir-8813 microRNA precursor family". It matches the Rfam family "mir-8813 microRNA precursor family". The record is from Rfam by way of RNAcentral. Lineage: Eukaryota; Metazoa; Chordata; Mammalia; Carnivora; Canidae.
UGGUGACCUGAGGAUCCCUGGCUGUCACUCUGUCCCAGCCCCUCCUUGCCCGCGGGGCACAGGCUGAGUCCCAGUAAAGUCUGUGGGGUCCUGACCC